RNAcentral lists this ribosomal RNA (301 nucleotides) under uncultured bacterium. RNAcentral's name for it is "partial 16S ribosomal RNA". It matches the Rfam family "Bacterial small subunit ribosomal RNA", at positions 509 to 807 of the family's 1533-position model. The record is from RNAcentral.
CAGCAGCCACGGUAAUACGAAGGGUGCAAGCGUUAAUCGGAAUUACUGGGCGUAAAGCGUGCGUAGGUGGUGGUUUAAGUCCGUUGUGAAAGCCCUGGGCUCAACCUGGGAAUUGCAGUGGAUACUGGGUCACUAGAGUGUUGUAGAGGAUAGUGGAAUUUCCGGUGUAGCAGUGAAAUGCGUAGAGAUCGGAAGGAACAUCUGUGGCGAAGGCGACUAUCUGGGCCAACACUGACACUGAGGCACGAAAGCGUGGGGAGCAAACAGGAUUAGAUACCCCCGUAGUCCCUGUCUCUUAUAC